Molecule: ribosomal RNA, 449 nt
Filed under: uncultured bacterium
Lineage: Bacteria
Description: partial 16S ribosomal RNA
Rfam family: Bacterial small subunit ribosomal RNA
Source: RNAcentral
AGCGAACGCUGGCGGCAGGCUUAACACAUGCAAGUCGAGCGCCGUAGCAAUACGGAGCGGCAGACGGGAGAGUAACACGUGGGAACGUACCCUUUGGUUCGGAACAACCCAGGGAAACUUGGGCUAAUACCGAAUAAGCCCUCACGGGGAAAGAUUUAUCGCCGAAGGAUCGGCCCGCGUCUGAUUAGCUAGUUGGUGAGGUAAUGGCCCACCAAGGCGACGAUCAGUAGCUGGUCUGAGAGGAUGAUCAGCCUCACUGGGACUGAGACACGGCCCAGACUCCUAGGGGAGGCAGCAGUGGGGAAUAUUGGACAAUGGGCGCAAGCCUGAUCCAGCCAUGCCGCGUGGGUGAUGAAGGCCCUAGGGUUGUAAAGCCCUUUCGGCGGGGAAGAUAAUGACGGUACCCGCAGAAGAAGCCCCGGCUAACUUCGUGCCAGCAGCCGCAGUAA